RNAcentral lists this ribosomal RNA (266 nucleotides) under uncultured bacterium. Its description in RNAcentral is "partial 16S ribosomal RNA". It matches the Rfam family "Bacterial small subunit ribosomal RNA", at positions 333 to 596 of the family's 1533-position model. The record is from RNAcentral.
UGUAGCCUACGGGGGGCAGCAGUGAGGAAUAUUGGUCAAUGGCCGAGAGGCUGAACCAGCCAAGUCGCGUGAGGGAAGACGGCCCUACGGGUUGUAAACCUCUUUUGUCGGGGAGCAAAGCGAGUCACGUGUGACUCAUUGAGAGUACCCGAAGAAAAAGCAUCGGCUAACUCCGUGCCAGCAGCCGCGGUAAUACGGAGGAUCCGAGCGUUAUCCGGAUUUAUUGGGUUUAAAGGGAGCGUAGAUGGGUUGUUAGGUCAGUUGUG